UGGGGAAUAUUGGACAAUGGGCGCAAGCCUGAUCCAGCCAUGCCGCGUGAGUGAUGAAGGCCUUAGGGUUGUAAAGCUCUUUUGUCAGGGAAGAUAAUGACGGUACCUGAAGAAUAAGCACCGGCUAACUUCGUGCCAGCAGCCGCGGUAAUACGAAGGGUGCUAGCGUUGUUCGGAAUUACUGGGCGUAAAGCGCGCGUAGGCGGUCAUUCAAGUCAGAGGUGAAAUCCCUGGGCUCAACCCAGGAAUUGCCUUUGAAACUGUAUGACUAGAGUGUCGGAGGGGAUAGCGGAAUUCCUAAUGUAGAGGUGAAAUUCGUAGAUAUUAGGAGGAACACCGGUGGCGAAGGCGGCUAUCUGGACGACAACUGACGCUGAGGCGCGAAAGCACGGGGAUCAAACAGGAUUAGAUACCCCGGUAGUCC
Molecule: ribosomal RNA, 424 nt
Filed under: uncultured bacterium
Lineage: Bacteria
Description: bacterial SSU rRNA
Rfam family: Bacterial small subunit ribosomal RNA
Source: RNAcentral